CCUACGGGAGGCAGCAGUGAGGAAUAUUGGUCAAUGGACGAGAGUCUGAACCAGCCAAGUAGCGUGAAGGAUGACUGCCCUAUGGGUUGUAAACUUCUUUUAUAUGGGAAUAAAAUGUUCCACGUGUGGCAUUUUGUAUGUACCAUAUGAAUAAGGAUCGGCUAACUCCGUGCCAGCAGCCGCGGUAAUACGGAGGAUCCGAGCGUUAUCCGGAUUUAUUGGGGUUAAAGGGAGCGUAGGUGGAUUGUUAAGUCAGGUGUGAAAGUUUGCGGCUCAACCGUAAAAUUGCAGUUGAAACUGGCAGUCUUGAGUACAGUAGAGGUGGGCGGAAUUCGUGGUGUAGCGGUGAAAUGCUUAGAUAUCACGAAGAACUCCGAUUGCGAAGGCAGCUCACUGGACUGCAACUGACACUGAGGCUCGAAAGUGUGGGUAUCAAACAGGAUUAGAUACCCUUGUAGUC
RNAcentral lists this ribosomal RNA (460 nucleotides) under uncultured bacterium. Its description in RNAcentral is "partial 16S ribosomal RNA". It matches the Rfam family "Bacterial small subunit ribosomal RNA", at positions 338 to 795 of the family's 1533-position model. The record is from RNAcentral.